RNAcentral lists this ribosomal RNA (696 nucleotides) under uncultured Bacteroidales bacterium. RNAcentral's name for it is "bacterial SSU rRNA". It matches the Rfam family "Bacterial small subunit ribosomal RNA", at positions 32 to 715 of the family's 1533-position model. Lineage: Bacteria; Pseudomonadati; Bacteroidota; Bacteroidia; Bacteroidales. The record is from RNAcentral.
AACGCUAGCUACAGGCUUAACACAUGCAAGUCGAGGGGAAACGAUAUUGGAAGCUUGCUUCCGAUAGGCGUCGACCGGCGCACGGGUGAGUAACGCGUAUCCAACCUGCCCACCACUUGGGGAUAACCUUGCGAAAGUAAGACUAAUACCCAAUGAUAUCUCUAGAAGACAUCUGAAAGAGAUUAAAGAUUUAUCGGUGAUGGAUGGGGAUGCGUCUGAUUAGCUUGUUGGCGGGGUAACGGCCCACCAAGGCAACGAUCAGUAGGGGUUCUGAGAGGAAGGUCCCCCACAUUGGAACUGAGACACGGUCCAAACUCCUACGGGAGGCAGCAGUGAGGAAUAUUGGUCAAUGGGCGAGAGCCUGAACCAGCCAAGUAGCGUGCAGGAAGACGGCCCUAUGGGUUGUAAACUGCUUUUAUAAGGGAAUAAAGUGAGUCUCGUGAGACUUUUUGCAUGUACCUUAUGAAUAAGGACCGGCUAAUUCCGUGCCAGCAGCCGCGGUAAUACGGAAGGUCCGGGCGUUAUCCGGAUUUAUUGGGUUUAAAGGGAGCGUAGGCCGGAGAUUAAGCGUGUUGUGAAAUGUAGACGCUCAACGUCUGCACUGCAGCGCGAACUGGUUUCCUUGAGUACGCACAAAGUGGGCGGAAUUCGUGGUGUAGCGGUGAAAUGCUUAGAUAUCACGAAGAACUCCGAUUG